Ruditapes philippinarum (Manila clam) is the source of this 344-nucleotide long non-coding RNA. RefSeq lists it as uncharacterized. The record is from RefSeq and is a predicted model, not a curated record. Lineage: Eukaryota; Metazoa; Mollusca; Bivalvia; Venerida; Veneridae. The transcript is spliced from 3 exons.
CGUCAAUUAGUAAAACCCAAACAUGGCGGACAGCGCUUUCGGUUUGGCGAGAUUAGAUGGAAAAGUUGCUCUAAUUACUGGAGCUAGCUCCGGAAUUGGUGCAGGUACAGCCCACAUGUUUGCCAAACUUGGUGCUAGACUGGCUCUCACAGGUAGAAAUGAAAUAACCUCAACAAACAUGGUGAUGAAUGUGAAAAACUUGGAGGAAACAAGGUACUAUGUCUUCCUGGAGAUCUAACAAUAGAGGAAGAUGUGAAGAGAAUUGUUAACGAAGCUGUAAAGCAACUAUGGACAACUUGAUAUUCUGGUAACAUUGUUAUCUAAAUUUAAUCUUGUUCUGUGUA